RNAcentral lists this ribosomal RNA (844 nucleotides) under uncultured archaeon. Its description in RNAcentral is "bacterial SSU rRNA". It matches the Rfam family "Archaeal small subunit ribosomal RNA", at positions 478 to 1320 of the family's 1478-position model. The record is from RNAcentral.
GGCAGCCCGAGUGGUGAUCACUAUUAUUGGGUCUAAAGGGUCCGUAGCCGGUUUAAUCAGUCUUCUGGGAAAUCUAAUCGCUUAACUAUUAGGCUUCCAGGGGAUACUGUUAGACUUGGGACCGGGAGAGGUAAGAGGUACUGCAGGGGUAGGAGUGAAAUCUUGUAAUCCCUGUGAGACCACCAGUGGCGAAGGCGUCUUACCAGAACGGGUCCGACGGUGAGGGACGAAAGCUGGGGGCACGAACCGGAUUAGAUACCCGGGUAGUCCCAGCUGUAAACGAUGCUCGUUAGGUGUCAGGAACGGUGCGACUGUUUCUGGUGCCGAAGGGAAGCCGUGAAACGAGCCACCUGGGAAGUACGGCCGCAAGGCUGAAACUUAAAGGAAUUGGCGGGGGAGCACUACAACGGGUGGAGCCUGCGGUUUAAUUGGACUCAACGCCGGAAAACUCACCGGGGGCGACAGCAAUAUGUAGGUCAGGUUAAAGGUCUUACCUGAAUCGCUGAGAGGAGGUGCAUGGCCGUCGUCAGUUCGUACUGUGAAGCAUCCUGUUAAGUCAGGCAACGAGCAAGACCCGUGCCCACUGUUACCAGCAUAUCCUUUAUGGAUGAUGGGGACUCUGUGGGGACCGCUGCUGCUAAAGCAGAGGAAGGUGCGGGCUACGGUAGGUCAGUAUGCCCCGAAUCUCCCGGGCUACACGCGGGCUACAAUGGUUGGGACAAUGGGUAUCUACUCCGAAAGGAGUUGGCAAUCUCUUAAACCCAAUCGUAGUUCGAAUUGAGGGCUGUAACUCGCCCUCAUGAAGCUGGAAUCCGUAGUAAUCGCGUUUCAACAUAGCGCGGUG